GUUCGCGCGCAAAAGCGCCUCUCGCGAGACUUAGCCGCUGCUUCCGACUUCCUCUUUAGGGUUCGCCCCUUUUUGUUGCUAAGGCGCCGGUUGCCUGGUUACCGUGAAGCGCAGGCCGUCAGCUUCCCUUACGCUCACUUCUACCCGGUGUUGAGUCUUCUGAGCCCCGUGACGGGGGCAGCAGGAGAAGCAAGGCCACCCCUGCAACCGCUAGUCAUCACUACAAAUUAAAGUCUCACGGCCAAAGCCAAUCCCAGGUAUAGCCAAAGUUCAAAUGCUUGCUGUUCAAAGGAGCAGAAAGCCGCCAGCGCUAAAAAAUCCGGAGGAAAAAAUCUCCAAAUGCCACGCCAGUUCUUGAAUAUAGAUGCCAUAUGAAAAAAGGCUCGAAAACCUCUUGGCCCCAAAACUGUGAGCUCCCAGAUGGCAGAUCGUGGGAUGUCUUGGCCUCCAUAACCAAUGUCAAAAUUCUGUCACUUGAAAGAGGAGAGAGAUGAAGACCAGGUUUAUAAACUCACAAGUCUACUUGUUUUUAUGAGAGAAUGGGAUGCGAGGCUAUCUUUGGAAGAUGCUGGCAGAAGAAAAUCAAACUGGGUCUUUCUCCUGAACCUGUUUAUACUGGUGAAAUCAUGUUUAAACGAAGAGCAAGUGCGUGAAGGAGGAAAAAAGAAAUCUUGAAGAGCAAUUUGAAGAGUGUGUAUAAGGG
Long non-coding RNA from Artibeus jamaicensis (Jamaican fruit-eating bat), 703 nucleotides. RefSeq lists it as uncharacterized. The transcript is spliced from 4 exons. Lineage: Eukaryota; Metazoa; Chordata; Mammalia; Chiroptera; Phyllostomidae. The record is from RefSeq and is a predicted model, not a curated record.